RNAcentral lists this ribosomal RNA (465 nucleotides) under Vreelandella stevensii. RNAcentral's name for it is "partial 16S ribosomal RNA". It matches the Rfam family "Bacterial small subunit ribosomal RNA", at positions 338 to 795 of the family's 1533-position model. The record is from RNAcentral. Lineage: Bacteria; Pseudomonadati; Pseudomonadota; Gammaproteobacteria; Oceanospirillales; Halomonadaceae.
CCUACGGGUGGCAGCAGUGGGGAAUAUUGGACAAUGGGCGAAAGCCUGAUCCAGCCAUGCCGCGUGUGUGAAGAAGGCCUUCGGGUUGUAAAGCACUUUCAGUGGGGAAGAAAGCCUUGGGGCUAAUACCCUCGAGGAAGGACAUCACCCACAGAAGAAGCACCGGCUAACUCCGUGCCAGCAGCCGCGGUAAUACGGAGGGUGCGAGCGUUAAUCGGAAUUACUGGGCGUAAAGCGCGCGUAGGCGGUCUGAUAAGCCGGUUGUGAAAGCCCCGGGCUCAACCUGGGAACGGCAACCGGAACUGUCAGGCUAGAGUGCAGGAGAGGAAGGUAGAAUUCCCGGUGUAGCGGUGAAAUGCGUAGAGAUCGGGAGGAAUACCAGUGGCGAAGGCGGCCUUCUGGACUGACACUGACGCUGAGGUGCGAAAGCGUGGGUAGCAAACAGGAUUAGAUACCCCUGUAGUC